UACGUAGGGCGCAAGCGUUGUCCGGAAUUAUUGGGCGUAAAGAGCUCGUAGGCGGUUUGUCGCGUCGAAUGUGAAAUCCCGGGGCUCAACCCCGGGCCUGCAGUGGAUACGGGCUGGCUAGAGGCAGGCAGGGGAGAACGGAAUUCCUGGUGUAGCGGUGAAAUGCGCAGAUAUCAGGAGGAACACCGGUGGCGAAGGCGGUUCUCUGGGCCUGUACUGACGCUGAGGAGCGAAAGCGUGGGGAGCGAACAGG
Molecule: ribosomal RNA, 253 nt
Filed under: uncultured bacterium
Lineage: Bacteria
Description: partial 16S ribosomal RNA
Rfam family: Bacterial small subunit ribosomal RNA
Source: RNAcentral